UACGAAGGGGGCUAGCGUUGCUCGGAAUCACUGGGCGUAAAGGGUGCGUAGGCGGGUCUUUUAAGUCAGGGGUGAAAUCCUGGAGCUCAACUCCAGAACUGCCUUUGAUACUGAGAUCUUGAGUUCGGGAGAGGUGAGUGGAACUGCGAGUGUAGAGGUGAAAUUCGUAGAUAUUCGCAAGAACACCAGUGGCGAAGGCGGCUCACUGGCCCGAUACUGACGCUGAGGCACGAAAGCGUGGGGAGCAAACAGGG
RNAcentral lists this ribosomal RNA (254 nucleotides) under uncultured bacterium. RNAcentral describes it as "partial 16S ribosomal RNA". It matches the Rfam family "Bacterial small subunit ribosomal RNA", at positions 524 to 777 of the family's 1533-position model. The record is from RNAcentral.